CUAGUAGUAGUAGUCUAGUGGUAGUAGUGUUGUGGUAGAGAUCAGAAGAAGACCGGACCGGGUGUUGCCAGCUCCAAUUGCGGUCACCCGGACACGGACGGGAUCCGAUCCCCGGAUCAGCAGCUCAGCUGUACUGGACGAAGGAGCGGUAGAAGGUGUUGGGCCUCCAGUUGGCCGGGAUGACGUUGUGGGCGACGAGCGUCUUGCCGGACUCGUUGCGGAUGCGGAUCGAGAAGGGCGCCUGCAUGCGGUGGUUGGUGUCCAUGCGCCAGACGUUGCCCCAGGACUCGCGCAUCGGCGUCCACCGCCCCGUCGGCGGGCCGUGCGCCGUCUUCGACUCCAUGAGGUCCACCUGCACCACGUCGCCGUCGCCGUCCUCGUAUUCGACGAGUACCGCGAAGUAGACGGGGUUCGAGU
Molecule: long non-coding RNA, 417 nt
Filed under: Setaria viridis
Lineage: Eukaryota; Viridiplantae; Streptophyta; Magnoliopsida; Poales; Poaceae
Description: long non-coding RNA (SVIR_LNC011107)
Source: RNAcentral